Molecule: ribosomal RNA, 468 nt
Filed under: uncultured bacterium
Lineage: Bacteria
Description: partial 16S ribosomal RNA
Rfam family: Bacterial small subunit ribosomal RNA
Source: RNAcentral
GACGAACGCUGGCGGCGUGCUUAACACAUGCAAGUCGAACGGAAAGGCCCUGCUUUUGUGGGGUGCUCGAGUGGCGAACGGGUGAGUAACACGUGAGUAACCUGCCCUUGACUUUGGGAUAACAUCAGGAAACUGGGGCUAAUACCGGAUAGGAUCUCCUGCUGCAUGGUGGGGGUUGGAAAGUGUCGGCGGUUGGGGAUCGACUCGCGGCUUAUCAGCUUGUUGGUGGGGUAGUGGCUUACCAAGGCUUUGACGGGUAGCCGGCCUGAGAGGGUGACCGGCCACAUUGGGACUGCGAUACGGCGCAGACUCCUACGGGAGGCAGCAGUGGGGAGUAUCGCAGAAUGGGCGGGAGCCUGAUGCAGCAACGCCGCGUGCGGGAUGACGGCCUUCGGGUUGUAAACCGAUUUGGCCUGUGACGAAGCGUGAGUGACGGUAAUGGGUAAAGAAGCACCGGCUAACUACGUG